Molecule: non-coding RNA, 1942 nt
Organism: Rattus norvegicus (Norway rat)
Lineage: Eukaryota; Metazoa; Chordata; Mammalia; Rodentia; Muridae
Source: RefSeq, a predicted model, not a curated record
UUGCGCUGUGAGUGUUUUUUAUUUGUGGUGGUGGUGGUGGUGGUGGGGAGUUGCAAGGGUGGUUAUGAGGGGACUAGGAAAUGAACCAGACUGGGGUGCAUGAUGUGAAACUCACAAAGAAUAAUAAUAAUAAAAGACAGUUACAAAGUUGAUUUAUUUGACUUCAUGUCUUUCAAAGACAGGACUGGAACACAGAGGUUUUUAUUUAUCUAUUUUUUUUCUGAUUGCCAUUGUCAUUUGUGGUUUGUUUCUGACGUAGAUCUGAGUCUCCCUCCCCCUUCCCCCUCCUUUCAUUUCCUCAUGCUCCAGUUCCACUCCCUCUGAAUUGUCAGAUUUUAGCAGCAGUCCUCCCUCCUUCAUCACAGUGUCAGUAUAUGGGGAGUUCCAGGAGAACAAGUCAUAGGUUCCCAAAUGGGCACGGCUCGAGACGUGCGAUGAAGUUCUAUGCUGACCUGUCAUAUCCUGUGUAGGAUGUGAGUCAUCUCUCACCCACCAUGUCCACACUGUAUGCCUCUGGCUCCCUUAGGAGUUCCCCUGGUUUUCAGAUCCACUGUCAUAGUGAGAGAAGUGGAGCAGACACACCAAAGAGACGCUAUGGGCAAAGAGGAAAGAAAUAAGAAAGCUCUUAAUUGGACUGUACUUGAUAUUUCCCAGAUGUUCUGCCUGCAUAUGUGCAUGCGCACCACAUGCGUGGGCGCCCGUUGGAUGGUUGUGAGGUACCUGGGUGCCGGGAAUGGAACUCAGUUUCUCGGUCACCGUUUACAAUCCUGAGCUAUAACACAAACACAAGCACUGUCAGCAACGCAUCACUGAGGGAACAAACCCACUGACUCAUGAGAACAUCGCCAACACCAGAGCAACGCCUCGAGGUUCUCCAGCACUGCUCAGCUCCGCCUUAGGAUGGUUCGUUAGAAGCGACUGAAACAGUACAUCUCUGCUGGAGACGCUGAGGCACAGGAUUCUCAGAAGAAUGAGGGGAAGACCGGAAAGCAAGAGAACAGCUGAAGAAUGUGGCCAGAUGAGGUGUGCUCCGGUCUGAUGGAAGUCAACGGAAGGAAAGGGAACCUGAGUUUGUCCUUCCUUGAAGCAGAGGGGGCAGGCUUUUGAAAGCCUAUCAGGCACCAGUCAGGGUCUUCUUUGAGAACAGGAACAUAGUUUCUCAGACAAGAAGCUUCCAUUUGGAAAAGGACUGGGGUGAAACUGUGAAGGGCAGGCCGUACCUUAUGCAGAAGGCUGAAAUGGUGUGCUGGCUAGUUUAGUUUGGUUGUUGUUUCUCCUCCUCCUCCUCCUCCUCCUCUUCCUCCUCUUGCUCUUCCUCCUCUUUCUCCUUCUCUUCUUUUUCUUCCUCCUCCUUCUCCUCCUCCUCUUCUUUUAUUCUUCUUCCUCCUCUUCCUCUUCCUCCUCUUUCUCCUCUUCCUCUUCCUCCCCCUCUUCUUCCUCUUCCUCCUUUUCCUCUUCCUCUUCCUCCUCUCCCUCCUCUUCCUCCUCUUUCUCCUCUUCUUCUCUUCCUCUCUUCCUCUUCCUCCUCUCCCUCCUCUUCCUCCUCUUUCUCCUCUUCUUCUCUUCCUCUCUUCCUCUUCCUCCUUCCUUCCUCUUGUUUCUUCCUCCUCCUCCUCCUCCUCCUCUUCCUCUUCCUCCUCUUCCUUCUCCUCCUCCUCCUCUUUUCUUCUGCCAACUGUUAAUUCCGGGUCAUCUGGGCAGAGGGACCUUUAGUUGAGAAAGUAGCUCCUGCAGACAAGUGUGUGGGAGGGCCCAACUCACUGUGAGCAGUGCUGCCCCUGUGCAGAUGGCCCUGGGUUUUAGAAGAAAGCAGACUGAGCAGGCCACAAGCUCAAGCCAGUAAGCAGCACUCCUCCAUGGGCUCUGCCUUGCGUUUCUGCCUUGUCUUGCUCUGGUGAUGGGUUGUAACCUGGAAGCUGAAUAAACUCCUUCUCCCCUCCGA